UCGUCGCCGGUCCUCCCCGCGUUCUUCAGCGCGGCUUCGUCGACCUGCCGGAUCUGCGGGCCCGCAGAGAGCCACGCCGACAAGGCGAGUCCCACCAGCGCCGCCAACGACACCGUCGCCCUUCGCAGAUGCAUAUCUGUGAUCUCGAUGACACAGUCCGCUACUCGUACGUGGCGUCCGACUUUAGUCGGACUACAGGCUGCGAGAAUCCGGCUGAAGCCGGAUUCCACGUACGAAGCCGCGAAAUCCGCGUCCUCCGCGACAUCCGCGGAUAGUUCCGCAACUUACUCGGCCGGUUCGAUUCUGAGCACUGCACCCGGGUCUCGUCCGUCAGCAGGUAGAGCAGCCCGUCGGGGCCCUGGCGGACAUCCCGGAUCCUCUGCCGGAGCUCCAGCAGCAUCAACUCGCGGCGGCGCUCUUCGAACUUCUCGUUGAACACCAGCCGCUGGAGGUGGCCGGUGUUCGCGAUCUCGCCCAUCCGCAUCGCGCCGACGAAGGCGUUGCCCUUCCACGCCGGAAAGCGAUCGCCGGUGUAGAACGCCAGGCCCGACACGGCGAUGGACGGCAUCCAGUACGCGACCGGCGGCUCGAUCCCCUCCUGCG
Molecule: unclassified non-coding RNA, 603 nt
Filed under: uncultured fungus
Lineage: Eukaryota; Fungi
Description: sequence contains 18S rRNA gene, ITS1, 5.8S rRNA gene, ITS2, 28S rRNA gene
Source: RNAcentral